GACACUAUGGCAGAAUUGGCAAAUGCAUCGGACUACUAAUCCGAUAUCCUUAUGGGGAUGUGUGAGAUCGGGACUCACUGGUGUCG
RNAcentral lists this transfer RNA (86 nucleotides) under Mediterraneibacter torques. RNAcentral's name for it is "tRNA-Ser". It matches the Rfam family "tRNA". Rfam says of the family: Transfer RNA (tRNA) molecules are approximately 80 nucleotides in length. Their secondary structure includes four short double-helical elements and three loops (D, anti-codon, and T loops). RNAcentral also lists the same sequence under 1 other name. The record is from RNAcentral. Lineage: Bacteria; Bacillati; Bacillota; Clostridia; Lachnospirales; Lachnospiraceae.